UACGAACCGUACGAACGUUAUUCGGAAUCACUGGGCUUAAGGGGUGCGUAGGCUGCGCAGCAAGUUGGGUGUGAAAUCCCUCGGCUUAACCGAGGAACUGCGCCCAAAACUGCUGUGCUCGAGGGAGAUAGAGGUGAGCGGAACUUAGGGUGGAGCGGUGAAAUGCGUUGAUAUCCUAAGGAACACCGGUGGCGAAAGCGGCUCACUGGAUCUCUUCUGACGCUGAGGCACGAAAGCUAGGGUAGCGAACGGG
RNAcentral lists this ribosomal RNA (253 nucleotides) under uncultured bacterium. RNAcentral's name for it is "partial 16S ribosomal RNA". It matches the Rfam family "Bacterial small subunit ribosomal RNA", at positions 524 to 776 of the family's 1533-position model. The record is from RNAcentral.